AUAAUGUUUUGAUGAAGGCCCUGGAUGGGCUUUGAGUACCAUGAGAAAUUUGGUGUGAAUUGUAGUAUAUUGGAUGAUUUACAGAAUAGUACGAAGGUCCUUAUAAAGAGGACUCAAUAAUGAGAAUACAAAGUCAAAUAUCCUAGAAAUCUGCUAUUAACCAAAUAUGGUCCCUAAACUAUAGCUAUGCAAUCUUUGAUAGAGAUAAUCACAAUAUCAAUUACAAUGAAUAGCAUCAAACCAAAUAAGAAAGUAUCUCGACAAAUAUCAUAAAAAUGGACGCACUAUUUUCUAUAUUCAAUCAAACAAAUCAAAGAAAAAGAAAGAGAAGAAGGAAGAAUGCAAUACAAGACAAAAGAAUGAUAGAAGCUAGCAAAAGGUGGAUGUUGCCGCUGCAGCGCAUGUCCCAUAAAAAGAAGCAGCGGUCCAACUGUAAAUUCCUCAGCGCGUUCAGGGUAUUAACGUUUUCUAAAAAAAUAUGAACUGUGCCAAAGCAUAAAUUUUUGAAAAAUAUUUGCUGGUGAUAAAACGUAAAAGUAGUCUAAAAGUAGUCUAGCAGAUGAGUAGAGAGAGAAGGAAAAUGGGACAAUAUUUCUGGAAGAAAGAAAGAGAGAGAAUAAAGCAACAAAUGAAGGAGAUAGAAGUGUGAAAAGACUUUACCAUUAUAAAGGAUAUUUUGAUCACUUACAAUGUAAAGAAAAAAAAAAUCAAUGAUGUCAUUUUCCAAAUUUAUUAACUUUUGUCUUUCUUUAAAAUGUUUAAAAAGUAUUUUCUCAAUAUAUAAUUAAGUAUUAAAAG
Molecule: long non-coding RNA, 798 nt
Filed under: Malus domestica (apple)
Lineage: Eukaryota; Viridiplantae; Streptophyta; Magnoliopsida; Rosales; Rosaceae
Description: long non-coding RNA (MDOM_LNC003910)
Source: RNAcentral